RNAcentral lists this ribosomal RNA (253 nucleotides) under uncultured bacterium. RNAcentral describes it as "partial 16S ribosomal RNA". It matches the Rfam family "Bacterial small subunit ribosomal RNA", at positions 524 to 776 of the family's 1533-position model. The record is from RNAcentral.
UACGAGGGGGGCGAGCGUUGUUCGGAAUUAUUGGGCGUAGAGGGCGCGUAGGCGGUGCGGUAAGUCACCUGUGAAAUCUCUGGGCUUAACUCAGAGCCUGCAGGCGAAACUGCCGUGCUGGAGUGUGGGAGAGGUGCGUGGAAUUCCCGGUGUAGCGGUGAAAUGCGUAGAUAUCUGGAGGAACACCGGUGGCGAAGGCGGCAUCCUGGACCGGUAUUGACGCUGAUGCGCGAAAGCCAGGGGAGCAAACGGG